Molecule: regulatory RNA element, 117 nt
Organism: Azorhizobium caulinodans ORS 571
Lineage: Bacteria; Pseudomonadati; Pseudomonadota; Alphaproteobacteria; Hyphomicrobiales; Xanthobacteraceae
Rfam family: ALIL pseudoknot
Source: Rfam
CGCCUGUUUCGCUCAGGCGGAGCUCAACCGCCCGUUCAAGCGGUGAUCGCCUUUAUUGACGAUCACCGAGAGGCAUACGGGGUCGAGCCGAUCUGCAAGGUCUUGCCGAUCGCCCGG